This 2517-nucleotide small RNA is filed under the name Vigna angularis var. angularis. RNAcentral's name for it is "Non-protein coding transcript". Lineage: Eukaryota; Viridiplantae; Streptophyta; Magnoliopsida; Fabales; Fabaceae. The record is from RNAcentral.
AACUGAUCAAACAAAAGAAGACACUCUACACCAAACUACAACAUUAGAACCAGAUGUGUCCUUAAAUCGUACAAAGCUAAGAAACAAAUAACUUUAGCUGGUUUGCAACAAGGAGAAGAAGAAUGAUCUAUUUUUGAACUAAGCAUUGAUAAUUUGCACAAAAAAAAAACAUCCAUAUAUAUAUUUUCUCUUGUUCUCUCCUGUCUUUUCUUUUUCUUUUUUUUCUCUCUCACUUCAAUAUGAGUGUCAAAUUUACCUCUAGGCCUCGUUCUGAAGAACAAUAACAUCAAAUGAUAGAAACACAAAGUUGGUGAAGGAGAAGUAUGUGGAAUACAAUCCGCAUAGUCCCCAUAUUGUUUUUCCUUUUUCAAGAUCUUGUGUGAGGGAAGAAUUGCGUACCACUGCCACCCAUGAAAGUGUUGACCGGAGCGGAAUACAAGGAGGAAGGAUCAACAAGUGCCCCAGAAGAAGUGACAACGCCAGAAGCAGUGAGGUUCAAGGGCUGAGCUCCACCAACACCAGCAGAGGUCUCCCCGGCCAUGUAAUUAUUACUAUUAUUAUUACUGUUAUUAUUAUUGCUAUUCUCAGGACCAUGGUCAUAAAGGAUUCCUUUGAACAGAUGUCCCCCAAUGUUCACAGCCGUUUGAUAUGCAUACCUGUCAUCAGCAUCCUCCACGCAGCUAACCCUCACGCACCUGAACUCAGCAGGAGAACUCACCACAGAUGGAAAAUGCCCUUCUUCUAACCCUUCUUUUUUUUUCAACACAUUAAGAAACAAAAAAAGAAACAACAUUAGGCAUGUAGCUGAAUGAUCCAUGGUUUGAGAGAAAAGCAACAGACUGAAACAAAAAAAGAAAAAAGAAGGGUCUUUUUACUGAAAAACUAGAACCUAAUAAUCAACAAAGAAAGAAAGUGAAGGAGAGGCGACUGGAUGUGCGUGGAAGUGAGAGAGAGAAUGUGCUAAGAAAGAGGAGGAAAAACAGUUUCUUGCUGUCAAUCCAUUCAUUCGUCAGGGCUAAUACAUAACAGUGUUUUGGGAAAGGGAAAGGGCUAAGGAAAAAAAAAAUUUAAAAAAAGAGAGAAAGAAGAAAAGCUGAUAUAUGAAAAUGGUGGAUUUUGGUUCACACGCAAUCGAUACGGUUCCAUUGUUUGCAGAAACUGCGAGUCCUUCUGUGUGCAUCACUGUGAACAAACAAAGACAAAACAAGAAGCACUGGGAGUGAAUUAGUUGGUGGGUGAGGUGAGGUGAGUGUGUUAUGUACCUGACGAGGGCAAACGAGUGCAAGCGGUUGGGUCCCUUGGCCGUUUGGAAAGGUCUCUCUGUUGUUGCUGCUGCUCUUGCAAGACAGCGAGCUGUUGCUGACGCUCGCGACGUUUGGAAGCGGGAACCCAAGUGCUUUUGACAUGGGUUUGGCACUCGUAGCCGCGGCUCUUGCAGCACGUUCUGCACCGCAUGUGUGGACAAUCUUUUUUUGCUUGGUUCCCGCAGUCCUGGCAGCUUAUUCCACCCUCCGCCGCGCGCAUAGCCACAAACGCUGAUCUAGACGAGGAGUGAUCAUCGGAGACGCCUCGACUGGGUCCCACACCGGAGGAGUAAAGAUCUCGCUGCAGGAGAGGCCGCGCAUGCGGGGGCAUCACAUGCUGCUCCUGCUGCUGGUUCCAUAGCUCGAACCCUCGGUAGGAUGAAACGUCGUCAGUUUUGCUAUACCAGAAUAGGGUCUCAGCCGCAGGAAUCUCGUUGUUGGUAGUGUUGUCUUGCUGGUUGUUGUUACUCCCUCUCCCUCCGCCUAAUGAGAACAAACCCGCCAUUGUUCUGCACCUGACCCGAGCUUCAAUUGUGGCCCAAAAUCCAUAUCAGAAAACUGGAUGGGUGUGGGUUGUUUGAUAUUGAAAAGAACAAAAGGAAGAAAGAAGCAAGCAUGUAAAAAUAAGAAAAAAGAGAAAGAAAAACAAAAGAACACGGGUAUAAGUUGCCAGUUGUAACUAUUGGUUGAAUUAAUUCUCUGGGUUUUGAGCUUUGAAUGAGGCGUGGGGUUGAGAAUUGGGAUUUGGGAGUGAGAAGAGGAGGACAAGAACAACAAUAAAUAUAAUACAAGUAAUAAUAACAAUAGCAAGUAGAACUGGGUUGAAUUUAUGUUGAGGAAAUUAUAACCCUGUUGGUUGGAUUUUGUGUUGUGUUGUGUAGUGUAGAGUCAUCAAUAGUGUAGCCUCCACACACAAUCAGAGACAUAAACACAAGCAGCAAAAACAGAAAAACAAAACACAGAAUAACACUGGUAUUUUAAUUUUUAUUUAGGAAGAAAAAGAGUGAAAAAUGGUUAAAAUAUUUGAAGAAGAGUGUGUUGGGUGUUGUGUUGUGUUGUGUUACAGCAUGUGGUUAUGGGUAUGGGUUAGCCGUUGUGGUUGGAGAAAGGGUAAUUGAAGCUUCGUUGGUUAAGGACAGGCGUCGAACAGUGUCGGGCAGCGUUAAUCGCGCUUUCAAUUCUUAGGUCACUCUCCGAAUUCAGCGUUUGUUUG